Molecule: RNase P RNA, 373 nt
Filed under: Candidatus Tectimicrobiota bacterium
Lineage: Bacteria; Pseudomonadati; Candidatus Tectimicrobiota
Description: RNase P RNA component class A
Rfam family: Bacterial RNase P class A
About the family: Ribonuclease P (RNase P) is a ubiquitous endoribonuclease, found in archaea, bacteria and eukarya as well as chloroplasts and mitochondria.
Source: RNAcentral
GGAGCGGGCCGCGCGGCCGCUCGCGGCUUCGCGCCGCGGGAGGAAAGUCCGGGCUCCGCAGGGCAGGGUGGUGGAUAACGUCCACCGGGGGCGACCCCAGGGAAAGUGCCACAGAGAGCAGACCGCCCCGCGCCGCGAGGCGCGGGGCAAGGGUGAAACGGUGCGGUAAGAGCGCACCAGCGGCCCGGGCGACCGGGCCGGCUCGGCAAACCCCACCCGGAGCAAGGCCGAAUAAGGAGACGCUCGAGGGCGGCCCGCCCGAGUCUCCGGGUUGGCCGCACGAGGCGGAGGGCAACUUCCGUCCCAGAUGGAUGGCCGCGGGCCCGCCUUUCGGGGCGGGCGACAGAACCCGGCUUACAGGCCCGCUCCGGUU